GAGGGUCUAGCUCAGUGGUAGAGCGUGUGCCUAGCAUGCACAAGGGCUGGGGUUCAACUCCCAGUACCGCCA
Molecule: transfer RNA, 72 nt
Filed under: Camelus bactrianus (Bactrian camel)
Lineage: Eukaryota; Metazoa; Chordata; Mammalia; Artiodactyla; Camelidae
Also listed under: 2 other names
Rfam family: tRNA
About the family: Transfer RNA (tRNA) molecules are approximately 80 nucleotides in length. Their secondary structure includes four short double-helical elements and three loops (D, anti-codon, and T loops).
Source: Rfam by way of RNAcentral